RNAcentral lists this ribosomal RNA (469 nucleotides) under uncultured bacterium. Its description in RNAcentral is "partial 16S ribosomal RNA". It matches the Rfam family "Bacterial small subunit ribosomal RNA", at positions 28 to 507 of the family's 1533-position model. The record is from RNAcentral.
GAUGAACGCUGGCGGCGUGCUUAACACAUGCAAGUCGAACGGUGAAGCUCCAGCUUGCUGGCGUGGAUCAGUGGCGAACGGGUGAGUAACACGUGAGCAACCUGCCCCUGACUCUGGGAUAACAGCCGGAAACGGCUGCUAAUACCGGAUAUGCACCAUGAACGCAUGUUCUGUGGUGGGAAAGAUUUUUCGGUUGGGGAUGGGCUCGCGGCCUAUCAGCUUGUUGGUGAGGUAAUGACUCACCAAGGCGUCGACGGGUAGCCGGCCUGAGAGGGUGACCGGCCACACUGGGACUGAGACACGGCCCAGACUCCUACGGGAGGCAGCAGUGGGGAAUAUUGCACAAUGGGCGAAAGCCUGAUGCAGCAACGCCGCGUGAGGGAUGACGGCCUUCGGGUUGUAAACCUCUUUUAGCAGGGAAGAAGCGAGAGUGACGGUACCUGCAGAAAAAGCGCCGGCUAACUACGUG